Molecule: ribosomal RNA, 468 nt
Filed under: uncultured bacterium
Lineage: Bacteria
Description: partial 16S ribosomal RNA
Rfam family: Bacterial small subunit ribosomal RNA
Source: RNAcentral
GACGAACGCUGGCGGCGUGCUUAACACAUGCAAGUCGAACGGAAAGGCCCUGCUUUUGUGGGGUGCUCGAGUGGCGAACGGGUGAGUAACACGUGAGUAACCUGCCCUUGACUUUGGGAUAACUUCAGGAAACUGGGGCUAAUACCGGAUAGGAGCUCCUGCUGCAUGGUGGGGGUUGGAAAGUUUCGGCGGUUGGGGAUGGACUCGCGGCUUAUCAGCUUGUUGGUGGGGUAGUGGCUUACCAAGGCUUUGACGGGUAGCCGGCCUGGGAGGGUGACCGGCCACAUUGGGACUGGGAUGCGGCCCAGACUCCUACGGGAGGCAGCAGUGGGGAAUAUUGCACAAUGGGCGGAAGCCUGAUGCAGCACCGCCGCGUGCGGGAUGACGGCCUUCGGGUUGUAAACCGCUUUCGCCUGUGACGAAGCGUGAGUGACGGUAAUGGGUAAAGAAGCACCGGCUAACUACGUG